This 273-nucleotide ribosomal RNA is filed under the name uncultured bacterium. Its description in RNAcentral is "partial 16S ribosomal RNA". It matches the Rfam family "Bacterial small subunit ribosomal RNA", at positions 524 to 796 of the family's 1533-position model. The record is from RNAcentral.
GACGAACCGUGCGAACGUUGUUCGGAAUCACUGGGCUUAAAGGGCGCGUAGGCGGCCCGCCCAGUCCGAGGUGAAAGCCCCCGGCUCAACCGGGGAAGGGCCUUGGAUACUGGCGGGCUCGAGGGGGAUAGGGGCGGACGGAACUUCCGGUGGAGCGGUGAAAUGCGUUGAUAUCGGAAGGAACGCCGGUGGCGAAAGCGGUCCGCUGGGUCCCCACUGACGCUGAGGCGCGAAAGCCAGGGGAGCAAACGGGAUUAGAAACCCCCGUAGUCC